Molecule: ribosomal RNA, 433 nt
Filed under: uncultured bacterium
Lineage: Bacteria
Description: partial 16S ribosomal RNA
Rfam family: Bacterial small subunit ribosomal RNA
Source: RNAcentral
AACGAACGCUGGCGGCAGGCCUAACACAUGCAAGUCGAGCGAGAUCUUCGGGUCUAGCGGCGGACGGGUGAGUAACGCGUGGGAAUAUGCCCUUCUCUGCGGAAUAGCCUCGGGAAACUGAGCGUAAUACCGCAUACGCCCUUUGGGGGAAAGAUUUAUCGGAGAAGGAUUAGCCCGCGUUGGAUUAGGUAGUUGGUGGGGUAACGGCCUACCAAGCCGACGAUCCAUAGCUGGUUUGAGAGGAUGAUCAGCCACACUGGGACUGAGACACGGCCCAGACUCCUACGGGAGGCAGCAGUGGGGAAUCUUAGACAAUGGGGGCAACCCUGAUCGAGCCAUGCCGCGUGAGUGAUGAAGGCCUUAGGGUUGUAAAGCUCUUUCAGCUGGGAAGAUAAUGACGGUACCAGCAGAAGAAGCCCCGGCUAACUCCGUG